GUGCGUCAGCUGCGGCGAGUGAAGCGGCAAGAGCUCAGAUUUGAAAUCGUGUUUCGGCACGAGUUGUAAAUUGCAGGUUGGAGUCUUUGUGGAGGCGGGUGUCUAAGUCCCUUGGAACAGGGCGCCAUUGAGGGUGAGAGCCCCGUGAGACGCUUGCCGAAGCUUUAAGACCCUUCUGACGAGUCGAGUUGUUUGGGAAUGCAGCUCCAAGUGGGUGGUAAAUUCCAUCUAAGGCUAAAUACUGGCGAGAGACCGAUAGCGAACAAGUACUGUGAAGGAAAGAUGAAAAGCACUUUGAAAAGAGAGUGAAACAGCACGUGAAAUUGUUGAAAGGGAAGGGUAUUGGGCUCGACAUGGGAUUUGCGCACCGCUGCUCCUUGUGGGCGGCGCUCUGUGCUUUUCCUGGGCCAGCAUCGGUUCUUGCUGCAGGAGAAGGGGUUCUGGAAUGUGGCUCCUCGGAGUGUUAUAGCCAGGGCCAGAUGCUGCGUGCGGGGACCGAGGACUGCGACAUCUGUCACGGAUGCUGGCACAACGGCGCAAUACCGCCCGUCUUGAAACACGGGACCAGCA
RNAcentral lists this ribosomal RNA (570 nucleotides) under Pichia rugopelliculosa. Its description in RNAcentral is "[Candida] rugopelliculosa partial large subunit ribosomal RNA". It matches the Rfam family "Eukaryotic large subunit ribosomal RNA", at positions 73 to 664 of the family's 3401-position model. The record is from RNAcentral. Lineage: Eukaryota; Fungi; Ascomycota; Pichiomycetes; Pichiales; Pichiaceae.